Molecule: ribosomal RNA, 325 nt
Filed under: uncultured Bacillota bacterium
Lineage: Bacteria; Bacillati; Bacillota
Description: bacterial SSU rRNA
Rfam family: Bacterial small subunit ribosomal RNA
Source: RNAcentral
GACGAACGCUGGCGGCGUGCCUAACACAUGCAAGUCGAGCGGGGAGAGAUUUUCGGAUUUCUCUUUAGCGGCGGACGGGUGAGUAACACGUGGGUAACCUGCCUCAAAGUGGGGGAUAGCCUUCCGAAAGGAAGAUUAAUACCGCAUAACAUCGGAGCACUGCAUGGUGCUUUGAUCAAAGGAGCAAUCCGCUUUGAGAUGGACCCGCGGCGCAUUAGCUAGUUGGUGAGGUAACGGCCCACCAAGGCGACGAUGCGUAGCCGACCUGAGAGGGUGAUCGGCCACAUUGGAACUGAGACACGGUCCAGACUCCUACGGGAGGCUG